AGUGAACGCUGGCGGUAGGCCUAACACAUGCAAGUCGAACGGCAGCACAGUAAGAGCUUGCUCUUACGGGUGGCGAGUGGCGGACGGGUGAGGAAUACAUCGGAAUCUACUUUUUCGUGGGGGAUAACUUAGGGAAACUUACGCUAAUACCGCAUACGACCUACGGGUGAAAGCAGGGGAUCUUCGGACCUUGCGCGAUUGAAUGAGCCGAUGUCGGAUUAGCUAGUUGGCGGGGUAAAGGCCCACCAAGGCGACGAUCCGUAGCUGGUCUGAGAGGAUGAUCAGCCACACUGGAACUGAGACACGGUCCAGACUCCUACGGGAGGCAGCAGUGGGGAAUAUUGGACAAAGGGCGCAAGCCUGAUCCAGCCAUACCGCGUGGGUGAAGAAGGCCUUCGGGUUGUAAAGCCCUUUUGUUGGGAAAGAAAAGCAGCAGGUUAAUACCCCGCUGUUCUGACGGUACCCAAAGAAUAAGCACCGGCUAACUUCGUG
Molecule: ribosomal RNA, 492 nt
Filed under: uncultured bacterium
Lineage: Bacteria
Description: partial 16S ribosomal RNA
Rfam family: Bacterial small subunit ribosomal RNA
Source: RNAcentral